UAAGGAAUAUUGGGCAAUGGACGCAAGUCUGACCCAGCCAUGCCGCGUGAAGGAUGACGGCCCUAUGGGUUGUAAACCUCUUUUGUACGGGAAAAAACCUUCGAACGUGUUCGAAGCUGAUGGUACCGUAAGAAUAAGCAUCGGCUAACUCCGUGCCAGCAGCCGCGGUAAUACGGAGGAUGCAAGCGUUAUCCGGAUUCAUUGGGUUUAAAGGGUGCGUAGGCGGGAUGAUAAGUCAGUGGUGAAAUCCUACAGCUUAACUGUAGAACUGCCAUUGAUACUGUCAACCUUGAGUACAAUUGAAGUGGGCGGAAUGUGUCAUGUAGCGGUGAAAUGCUUAGAUAUGACACAGAACACCGAUAGCGAAGGCAGCUCACUAAACUGUAACUGACGCUGAGGCACGAAAGCGUGGGGAUCAAACA
RNAcentral lists this ribosomal RNA (422 nucleotides) under uncultured prokaryote. RNAcentral describes it as "bacterial SSU rRNA". It matches the Rfam family "Bacterial small subunit ribosomal RNA", at positions 355 to 774 of the family's 1533-position model. The record is from RNAcentral.